Molecule: ribosomal RNA, 468 nt
Filed under: uncultured bacterium
Lineage: Bacteria
Description: partial 16S ribosomal RNA
Rfam family: Bacterial small subunit ribosomal RNA
Source: RNAcentral
GACGAACGCUGGCGGCGUGCUUAACACAUGCAAGUCGAACGGAAAGGCCCUGCGUUUGCGGGGUGCUCGUGUGGCGAACGGGUGAGUAACACGUGAGUAACCUGCCCUUGACUUUGGGAUAACUUCAGGAAACUGGGGCUAAUACCGGAUAGGAGCUCCUGCUGCACGGGGGGGGUUGGAAAGUUUCGGCGGUUGGGGAUGGACUCGCGGCUUAUCGGCUUGAUGGUGGGGUAGGGACUUACCAAGGCUAUGACGGGUAGCCGGCCUGGGAGCGUGGCCGGCCACAUUGCGCCUGAGAUACGCCCCAGACUCCUACGUGCGGCAGCAGUGGGGAAUCUUGCACAAUGGGCGGAAGCCUGAUGCAGCAACGCCGCGUGCGGGAUGCCGGCCUUCGGGUUGUAAACCGCUUUCGCCUGUGCCGAAGCGUGAGUGACGGUAAUGGGUAAGGAAGCACCGGCUAACUACGUG